This 365-nucleotide ribosomal RNA is filed under the name uncultured bacterium. RNAcentral's name for it is "bacterial SSU rRNA". It matches the Rfam family "Bacterial small subunit ribosomal RNA", at positions 440 to 793 of the family's 1533-position model. The record is from RNAcentral.
CAGUGAGGAAGGUGGGUAUGUUAAUAGCAUACUCAUUUUGACGUUUAGCUGCAGAAGAAGCACCGGCUAACUCCGUGCCAGCAGCCGCGGUAAUACGGAGGGUGCGAGCGUUAAUCGGAAUUACUGGGCGUAAAGCGCAUGCAGGUGGUUUGUUAAGUCAGAUGUGAAAGCCCGGGGCUCAACCUCGGAAUUGCAUUUGAAAACUGGCAAACUAGAGUACUGUAGAGGGGGUAGAAUUUCAGGUGUAGCGGUGAAAAUGCGUAGAGAUCUGAAGGAAUACCGGUGGCGAAGGCGGCCCCCUGGACAGAUACUGACACUCAGAUGCGAAAGCGUGGGGAGCAAAACAGGAUUAGAUACCCUGGUAG